Chelonia mydas (Green sea turtle) is the source of this 994-nucleotide long non-coding RNA. RefSeq lists it as uncharacterized. The record is from RefSeq and is a predicted model, not a curated record. The transcript has 3 exons. NCBI's taxonomy places the organism in Eukaryota, Metazoa, Chordata, Testudines, Cheloniidae.
CAGUGGUUAGUGAAGGGGUCCAUCCAUGGCUCUGACACUCGGUGUGACCCUGAGCUGGUAGCUGAGGCCCGUUUGCUAUCAGUAGGGUUGGGGUCCCAUCGCUACAGCCCAGCGGGGUUGGGAGGCUCCAGGAAGGUGUGUAAAGUGCUGGGAUGUCAGGAUCCUGGAGGCGCUGUCACCUCCGCCCUAGGGCAGUGUUCUGCACCCCCCUGCUGCUGGCUGAGUUUCUCGAUCCCUUGGCAAUAAGACAGACUCUUGUUUUCACAGCCAGUCGAUCGCCCUCGUGUCAUCACCCUGCCUGCUGGCUGGGCAGGGUAACUCCUGAGGUCACCACCCUCUCCAGCCUGCCUUGGGCUUGGAGAGUGAGGAGGAGGGCGAGGGACGUCUGCUGACCCUGAACAUCUGCCAUCCAUCAUACCAUCACUGAGAGCAAGAUGGCCAGGCUCCUGCGGAUGUUGCGGAGGAAGGCUCUGCAGGUGACCCCAGAGCCUGAGGGAAGCAGCUGCCGUCUUCCGACGGGGCAGAGCAACCCCUGCGUCCCCGCUGGCGGGGAAGCAGCUCCCGUCCAGUCCAGAUGGCGGAAGUGCCCGGCCUUCUGGAGAAGGAACCCGGCUCCCGGCGCAGGCGCCGAGCUGGGAGCGGCCCCGACCAGGCCCCGGUGGAGCUGGCCCAGGCUGCGGUUUUGCAGACAGGACCCAGCCCAGGAGGGGCGCCGGGCAGGGUGGCUCUGGGGCUGGUUGUGUGGGCAGCAGCGGCCCCAGGAGCCCAGCCCUCGUUCCCAUCAGGAGGCCUCGCCCUGCCCGGUCUCUGAGGCCCUUCCAGCCCCCGCCGGCCAGGAGGGGGAAGGUCCCUGUCCCAGCACCGGCAGCUCAGCCUGGGACAGCGGCAGCACCUGGGCCUCUGGCAGCAGCCAGGCCGACGGGCGCCACUGCUUUGCUCCAGGGAGCCCCCUGGAUUCGGAGCAGGAGGAAGGGGUGGACGUGGCCAAAGAUGA